GUAGUCNUAUGCUUGUCUCAAAGAUUAAGCCAUGCAUGUCUAAGUAUAAGCAAUUAUACCGCGAAACUGCGAAUGGCUCAUUAUAUAAGUUAUCGUUUAUUUGAUAAUACUUUACUACUUGGAUAACCGUGGUAAUUCUAGAGCUAAUACAUGCUAAAAAUCCCGACUUCGGAAGGGUUGUAUUUAUUAGAUUAAAAACCAAUGCCCCUCGGGGCUCUCUGGUGAAUCAUGAUAACUAGUCGAAUCGACAGGCCUUGUGCCGGCGAUGGCUCAUUCAAAUUUCUUCCCUAUCAACUUUCGAUGUUUGGGUAUUGUCCAAACAUGGUGGCAACGGGUAACGGAGGGUUAGGGCUCGACCCCGGAGAAGGAGCCUGAGAAACGGCUACUACAUCCAAGGAAGGCAGCAGGCGCGCAAAUUACCCAAUCCCGACACGGGGAGGUAGUGACAAUAAAUACUGAUACAGGGCUCUUUUGGGUCUUGUAAUCGGACUGAGUACAAUUUAAAUCCCUUAACGAGGAACAAUUGGAGGGCAAGUCUGGUGCCAGCAG
This 549-nucleotide ribosomal RNA is filed under the name uncultured Hypocreaceae. Its description in RNAcentral is "SSU rRNA". It matches the Rfam family "Eukaryotic small subunit ribosomal RNA", at positions 20 to 573 of the family's 1831-position model. The record is from RNAcentral. Lineage: Eukaryota; Fungi; Ascomycota; Sordariomycetes; Hypocreales.